GAAAUGUAGACUUUACUGAAUAUGUCAUAGAGGAGACUUAGGAGAAGGUUGACAUAGCAUACUGCUCAGCAGAUGACUUAAAAUUUUCCCUUAGCCAUUUUUGUUCUCUCAGGUCCCUCUCAUCCAUACCACCACUGCUGAUUUUUUCUUUCUUUUUUUCUUUUAAAUCUUUUCUAGCUUUUUUUCUGACAAACUUUGCUGGAUUCCUACUCCUUUUCUCUCCUUCUUGAGAAAAAUGCAAAUUUUGCUCCAUAUUUUGGUCUGGCAGGGAAGCUUCCAUCUUUUCUUACUGAAGCAUAGCCUCAGGGCCUACAUUCCAUCUCAAAUGGCUUGUCAAGGUGCUCCUCCAAAGGUGAUGUACGGAUGCCAAGUUGGACACAGCUAGAGAAAUCCCAUGUGGCUAUCCCAAGCAGGAGAGGACGUUGCUGUUUCUCAGAAGUCCUCCCCACUUUCAGGGUCAUAAUUGUCUGUCAACAACUUUGUGGGAAUUCAAAAACUCUCCACGGAACUGGUUUUCUGAGAGGUGUUUGAAGCAGGAAUAUAUCACGCAGGAGAUGGAGCAGCCAUUCCCUGGCUAGAUGACCACAUCACUAUUACACACUGAUUGUUUGCUAAAGGCACAAUACCUUCCUGGCAGGAAAUGAAAAACGCCUGCUGCUCAAUUAUUGUCAGUCUAAUUGAUAUAGAGUUCAGGCCUCGUCAGAUGGCUUCCCAAACACCCAGACGGUCUCUUAGAUUCUGGAUGGUUAGUCUCUUAGAUUCAGGUGGUCAACAGUAAGUUUUUUUUUUUUUUUUCUUAUCCUCGUUGGCAACAUGACAUUUCUUCUGGGUCAUGGUA
Molecule: long non-coding RNA, 838 nt
Organism: Cebus imitator (Panamanian white-faced capuchin)
Lineage: Eukaryota; Metazoa; Chordata; Mammalia; Primates; Cebidae
Exons: 2
Source: RefSeq, a predicted model, not a curated record